This 774-nucleotide ribosomal RNA is filed under the name uncultured Neocallimastigales. Its description in RNAcentral is "partial large subunit ribosomal RNA". It matches the Rfam family "Eukaryotic large subunit ribosomal RNA", at positions 22 to 645 of the family's 3401-position model. Lineage: Eukaryota; Fungi; Neocallimastigomycota; Neocallimastigomycetes; Neocallimastigales. The record is from RNAcentral.
UACACGCUGUGACUAGCAUAUCAAUAAGCGGAGGAAAAGAAACUAACAAGGAUUCCCCUAGUAACGGCGAGUGAAGCGGGAAGAGCUCAAAUUUGAAAUCUUAAAGGGUUUCCCUUUACGAAUUGUAGUUUAAAGAAGUGUUUUCUGUUGAGGUUUUGGUAAGAGUUCUUUGGAAUAGGACAUCAUAGAGGGUGAGAAUCCCGUAUUUGACCUUUACUUUCAACUUUGUGAUACACUUUCAAAGAGUCGGAUUGUUUGGGAAUGCAGUCCAAAAUGGGUGGUAAAUUUCAUCUAAAGCUAAAUAUUGGCGAGAGACCGAUAGCGAACAAGUACCGUGAGGGAAAGGAUGAAAAGAACUUUGAAAAGAGAGUUAAACAGUACGUGAAAUUGUCAAAAGGGAAGCGUUUGACACCAGUGUUGUUUUUCUGAAAAUCAAUUAAAGAACUGUUUAUGCUAAGCUGUUUAGACUUUAUCAGCUAACUGUUUAGUUUUGAGCUUUUCUUUAAUGCACUUUUCAGUUAACAAGUCAACAUCAAUUUCUUUUGCUGUAGAAAAGCUUGAGGAAGGUGGCUUGAGAUUCGUCUUAAGUGUUUAUAGCCUCUUGCCUAUGCAGUCGGAGAGAUUGAGGUCUGCAGCGUAGAUCCUUCGGGGCUAAAUGCAUUUGUGCUAAGUUAUAGCAUUUUAUAGACAACUUGUUGACUAUGAUUUGUCUUGUAGCUUACUCGCUUAUGUUAUUUUACCUACGCUUAGGAUGUUGAAGUCAUCGUAUCGCGC